UUUCGGAGCUAACGCGUUAAGUAGACCGCCUGGGGAGUACGGUCGCAAGAUUAAAACUCAAAUGAAUUGACGGGGGCCCGCACAAGCGGUGGAGCAUGUGGUUUAAUUCGAUGCAACGCGAAGAACCUUACCUACUCUUGACAUCCAGAGAACUUAGCAGAGAUGCUUUGGUGCCUUCGGGAACUCUGAGACAGGUGCUGCAUGGCUGUCGUCAGCUCGUGUCGUGA
RNAcentral lists this ribosomal RNA (227 nucleotides) under Vibrio sp. a5m1. RNAcentral's name for it is "partial 16S ribosomal RNA". It matches the Rfam family "Bacterial small subunit ribosomal RNA", at positions 844 to 1070 of the family's 1533-position model. RNAcentral also lists the same sequence under 2 other names. Lineage: Bacteria; Pseudomonadati; Pseudomonadota; Gammaproteobacteria; Vibrionales; Vibrionaceae. The record is from RNAcentral.